GAUGAAGAACGCAGCGAAAUGCGAUACGUAAUGUGAAUUGCAGAAUUCAGUGAAUCAUCGAAUCUUUGAACGCAUAUUGCGCUCUCUGGUAUUCCGGAGAGCAUGCUUGUUUGAGUAUCAGUAAACACCUCAACUUCCAUAUCUUUUUUGAAAUGGGAGUUGGACUUGAGUGAUCCCAACGCUUUUCCUCACCGAAAAGUGGCGGGUUACUUGAAAUGCAGGUGCAGCUGGACUUUUCUCUGAGCUAUAAGCAUAUCUAUUUAGUCUGCCUAAAAAACAGAUUAUUACCUUUGCUGCAGCUAACAUAAAGGAGAUAAGUUCUUGUGCUGACUGAUGCAGGAUUCACAAAGACGGCUUCGGCCGACUUUGUAAACUCGAUCUCAAAUCAAGUAAGACUACCCGCUGAACUUAAGCAUAUCAAUAAGCGGAGGA
This 432-nucleotide unclassified non-coding RNA is filed under the name soil metagenome. Its description in RNAcentral is "partial contains 5.8S ribosomal RNA, internal transcribed spacer 2, and large subunit ribosomal RNA". The stretch from base 1 to 120 matches the Rfam family "5.8S ribosomal RNA", at positions 35 to 154 of the family's 154-position model. The record is from RNAcentral.